UGCUCGAUGGUGUAAUGGUAGCACAAGCGACUCUGACUCGCUUAGUCUAGGUUCGAUCCCUAGUCGGGCAGCCA
This 74-nucleotide transfer RNA is filed under the name Opitutus sp. Its description in RNAcentral is "tRNA-Gln". It matches the Rfam family "tRNA". From Rfam's summary of the family: Transfer RNA (tRNA) molecules are approximately 80 nucleotides in length. Lineage: Bacteria; Pseudomonadati; Verrucomicrobiota; Opitutia; Opitutales; Opitutaceae. The record is from RNAcentral. RNAcentral also lists the same sequence under 4 other names.